UAUAUAUAAUUUUUAUAAAUGUAUACAAUAUAUAUAUAUGUACAUAUCCAUGGAGAGUGAAUGCAAUUUCUCCUACUGUUAGUUCUGCAUAUAGGAAAAUUUUUUUCAAGCUUGCUAAGGAAAUCUGUCCACGUAAAUAUAUAUAUAUUGUUUCUUGGUUUAUAUCAUUAGCUUUUCUGUUUUCUUUUUUUUUUUUUCUUUUUGAGGGGAAAAAAGGAGAAGAAAAAUAUUUCAUUGAGAUGAUUAAAUCAUUCUCAAUAAGAGGAUAUUUUCGAGUCUGUUAUUAGUUGUGUAGAAUAAUAAUGAGAUAAUGAAUUGAAGGAUAAACAAAUCUAUCAAUUCGAAGUAUGUAUAUUUUGGUUAAUAGAUGACUGAAUAUUUUGAUUUGCCAUCUUUGUUGAUACCAAGAACGGAUUGUUAUUCGUAUUGCGUUCAAUUUAGACGGAGUUUGUGAUAAGGAACAAAAUGAUGUCACUUCCGUACGUCUGACAUCAUUGAGUCGACGGCUCAAUGUCAUUGCCUGCUUUCAAAAUAAUCGCUGCCCACUAGAUACCAGUGUUGUUUUCAUAAGUGGGGAGGACCUUGAUGUCGCAGUCCCUAAAGUCACGACGAAGUUUUUUUCUUUUUUUGGUUUUUUCUUCUUUUUUCUUCUUUUUUUUUUCUUAUCCCAACUGUGACAUAUUUGCGAGGGCGUAAAAAAUAUCGAUUUCCACGAAAAAUUCGAUUAUUCUUAUCAUUUAUAAUCGAGUUUCUUUUAUUCAUCUUUUAAAGUACACAUGUCAAUGUAAUCCGCAAAAAAUUUUAUUGGAUUGAAUUUUGAAUGUGUAUUUUUUUAUUUGAUCGAGCAAUACGUCAAGAUAUUCAACGUUACAACGUUAUACCUAUUUGCGUGAUGAAAUAUAAAUAGAGAGUGAAAAAAGAAGAACGUACGUAGAAUAAAUAUAAUUUAUAUAAUUAAUUAUAUUAUCGAUCGAUUUUGUUAAUCAUAGAUUUCUAUAGUACCGACCUUUGGUAUAACCAAUUUUUUAAUGAUACUUUUCAUUUCCGCGGGAUGUCGCUUCAAGUUCGCGGCAAAAUUUAAUUUCUACUUGGCUAUCAUUGAAAACUACAAAGGUAGACGUUCAUAAGGGGCCAUUGCGAAUCGACGAGGUCAGCGGUCUGAUAUGUAUGUAUAUACGUUCAAUACAAAGAUUCCGAUAACAGUCUUAUAGUUAGCAGUAGCGAAAGAAAGCAUAUUCUCCGACCUCGCCAUUCUCCGAUGGAACGAGAAGGCCUCCAAUGACUCACUACCAUAUUACGAGAAGCAGAACAGUUGUGACAUGGACCGCUAAAUGCUUACCAGCGAAACCGUUAAAUUCAAUUAGAGCGUUACUUUCUUUCUCUCGUUUACUACGUCAUACAUUUCUAAGUAACUGCUGUUUAUUUAUUUUUCAUCGUUUUUUUUCGAUUUCAACGUUUAUAAAUAUUAAUUUUAUGCACUAUAGUAAACCGUUAAAAAAGAUCUUUUGUCUAUCUUUUUCUUGUUGAAUAAAUGAUCUCUCUUUUUUCUUU
Vespa mandarinia (Asian giant hornet) is the source of this 1551-nucleotide long non-coding RNA. The record is from RefSeq and is a predicted model, not a curated record. Lineage: Eukaryota; Metazoa; Arthropoda; Insecta; Hymenoptera; Vespidae.